AACCACUGAUGACUUCCUUUUUAUUUUUCUGACACCUCGUAUGAGCGCUGCCCGGCAGUGCCUGAUUAUAACUUGCACUCUGAGGUUC
Molecule: small nucleolar RNA, 88 nt
Organism: Neoarius graeffei (lesser salmon catfish)
Lineage: Eukaryota; Metazoa; Chordata; Actinopteri; Siluriformes; Ariidae
Product: small nucleolar RNA SNORD60
Exons: 1
Source: RefSeq, a predicted model, not a curated record